Harmonia axyridis is the source of this 556-nucleotide long non-coding RNA. RefSeq lists it as uncharacterized. The transcript has 2 exons. Lineage: Eukaryota; Metazoa; Arthropoda; Insecta; Coleoptera; Coccinellidae. The record is from RefSeq and is a predicted model, not a curated record.
UGGAGGAUAAGCUAAAACGGACCAAAUAUUUGGACCCGAAGCUCAUGAGUUACGGGUACUCCCAAAGAUCCUAAAUGAAAAGUAACUGUCAUGCGCGAGAAUGUCGAGAAUUCCCUUCAAAUACGAUUUUGACGUUGAUGUUAUUUUGUUCCAAACAACAACAAAAUUUACAUUUUCUGUUGUUUCCCAUUUUAAUUGCGGAGUGGAAUGAAACAAUGAAAUUUGGUAUUAUUAUAUCAACAGCUACAAAAAUAUACAAAAUCUUCUGCAGACCAAUUUUUGAAUAUAAACACACUAUACAGAACUGAACUAGUGCCAAUAAGGGAAAGACUGCAAAAAUUUCCAAGGAAACUUUUCUAAAGGCUACACAACAUAGAACUAAAGUGACCAUUGAUGCGAAUAUGAUAGAAGUUGUUUAUUAUUAUUAUAUUUAUUUGUAGGUUGAUCAAUUAAUGUGAUUUGAUAAUAUGAAAGAGAAGUUUGUAUGAUGAGAUUGAAUUGAAAGUGCCCUUUUGUUACUAUGAAUAAGUAUUCAAAUUAAAGCUUCUUAUAAUUA